GUUUUGAUACUUACAGUGGUGAAUUUCUGACCUUUUAUUUCUUUUUUUUGGUCUAUAAAUUCCAACACUGUGUAUUGUUGAGAGAAGUGAACUACGCACUAAAUGAUUUAUUGAUUAUAAUGAGUAGAAGUUUGAGGUAACAUUUAAAAAACAGAGAACAACACAAGGACUCCCGCAAAAAUCUUAACCUUUCUCUUUUUUUGGCGAUCCUCUUUCAACUAAUGAGACGUAGGUGAGCUAUGACGUCAUGUAACAUUUCUUUGCUUCAGUAGCGAAAUAGCUAUUUCCAACAAACCAUAAAAGUAUGCUCAGAAUACUCAUCUUUCUGAAAAAAAUUUUAAAUAUAAGAAAGCUGUAACUCACACAUGCCCAGACGUCACAAGUAGCCGUAUCGUGUAAUAUGAAUCGCAUCUCUACCAGGCUUGUGUCCAAAAAUUUGAUCUAUUGCAAAAUUAAAAUCCUGUGAGGUUGCCAAAGAGAUGCUUCUUAACGAAACAGAAAACAAACGCAUCGCUGGGUCAUGCCAGAUUUGACAAUAUUUAGAUUUUCCCUACUCGGAAAACUCAAAUAUUUGCUUCUGAGAACGCGCAAUAUACUAUUUUUAGGUUUCUGCACUAAAAUAAUUUAUCAUUACAACAAAAUUAAAGAAUGAAUUAUUUAGUCCAGUUGAAAUUACCUUUAAAGUGUAAAUUUUCAAAUUUCAGUUUUUUGGAAAUAAA
Long non-coding RNA from Bactrocera oleae (olive fruit fly), 719 nucleotides. RefSeq lists it as uncharacterized. NCBI's taxonomy places the organism in Eukaryota, Metazoa, Arthropoda, Insecta, Diptera, Tephritidae. The record is from RefSeq and is a predicted model, not a curated record.